This 466-nucleotide ribosomal RNA is filed under the name uncultured bacterium. RNAcentral's name for it is "partial 16S ribosomal RNA". It matches the Rfam family "Bacterial small subunit ribosomal RNA", at positions 29 to 507 of the family's 1533-position model. The record is from RNAcentral.
AUGAACGCUGGCGGCGUGCUUAACACCUGCAAGUCGAACGGAAAGGCCUCUGCUUGCAGGGGUACUCGAGUGGCGAACGGGUGAGUAACACGUGGGUGAUCUGCCCUGCACUUCGGGAUAAGCCUGGGAAACUGGGUCUAAUACCGGAUAGGACAAUGGUUUGGAUGCUGUUGUGGAAAGUUUUUCGGUGUGGGAUGAGCUCGCGGCCUAUCAGCUUGUUGGUGGGGUAAUGGCCUACCAAGGCGUCGACGGGUAGCCGGCCUGAGAGGGUGUACGGCCACAUUGGGACUGAGAUACGGCCCAGACUCCUACGGGAGGCAGCAGUGGGGAAUAUUGCACAAUGGGCGCAAGCCUGAUGCAGCGACGCCGCGUGGGGGAUGACGGCCUUCGGGUUGUAAACUCCUUUCGCUAGGGACGAAGCGUUUUUGUGACGGUACCUGGAGAAGAAGCACCGGCUAACUACGUG